CCCUUAGAUGUUCUGGGCAGCACGCGCGCUACAAUGGUCUUCGCAAACGGAUGCAUUCUCGAAGGAGAAUGCCAAUCUUGGAAUCUAUGCCUUGGUCGGGACAGUUGCUUGCAAUUUUUCGACUCGAACCAGGAAUUCCUUGUAAUCGUGAUUCAUCACAUCACGAUGAAUACGUCCCUGCCCUUUGUACACACCGCCCGUCGCUCCUACCGAUUGAACGAUCCGGUGAAUUAUUUGGAGUAGCUCUGGAAGUUGCAGAACUUCCUAUGUCACGAAAUUUUGUAAACCUUAUCGUUUAGAGGAAGACAAAGUCGUAACA
Molecule: ribosomal RNA, 319 nt
Filed under: uncultured eukaryote
Lineage: Eukaryota
Description: partial 18S ribosomal RNA
Rfam family: Eukaryotic small subunit ribosomal RNA
Source: RNAcentral